RNAcentral lists this ribosomal RNA (351 nucleotides) under Triticum aestivum (bread wheat). Its description in RNAcentral is "partial small subunit ribosomal RNA". The record is from RNAcentral. Lineage: Eukaryota; Viridiplantae; Streptophyta; Magnoliopsida; Poales; Poaceae.
AUGGCGCAAUGGUGGUCGAGCAAUAUGGAGGGAUGUAGACAUUGCACAUUGCUGGUAGUGUCUGCAGCGCUAGGUUCCUUAUUUACUCAAACUGCGGCAGUUGCUGAGGUUGGACAAAGCCAUCGGCCUGUGGGUUUUGCUCAGAUGGCUGGAAGGAGCCCUGGGCUGAUGGAUAUUGUUGCUGAGGUUGGACAAAGCCCUGGGCCUGUGGGUUUUGCUGAGAUGGCUGGAAGAAGCCCUGGCCUGAUGGAUAUUGUUGCUGAGGCUGCUGGUAGGAGACCUGGCUCGACGGUUGUUGUUGUUGUUGUUGUUGUUGUUGUUGUUGUUGUUGAUGACGAUGAUGCAAAAUAA